This 253-nucleotide ribosomal RNA is filed under the name uncultured bacterium. RNAcentral's name for it is "partial 16S ribosomal RNA". It matches the Rfam family "Bacterial small subunit ribosomal RNA", at positions 524 to 776 of the family's 1533-position model. The record is from RNAcentral.
UACGGAGGGUGCGAGCGUUGUCCGGAAUCAUUGGGCGUAAGGGGCGCGUAGGUGGCGGGACAAGCGUGCGGUGAAAGCCUGGGGCUCAACCCCGGGUCGGCCGUGCGAACUGUUUUGCUUGAGCACUGUAGAGGCAGGCGGAAUUCCGGGUGUAGCGGUGGAAUGCGUAGAGAUCCGGAAGAACACCGGUGGCGAAGGCGGCCUGCUGGGCAGUAGCUGACACUGAGGCGCGACAGCGUGGGGAGCAAACAGG